RNAcentral lists this ribosomal RNA (465 nucleotides) under uncultured Klebsiella sp. RNAcentral's name for it is "bacterial SSU rRNA". It matches the Rfam family "Bacterial small subunit ribosomal RNA", at positions 338 to 795 of the family's 1533-position model. Lineage: Bacteria; Pseudomonadati; Pseudomonadota; Gammaproteobacteria; Enterobacterales; Enterobacteriaceae. The record is from RNAcentral.
CCUACGGGGGGCUGCAGUGGGGAAUAUUGCACAAUGGGCGCAAGCCUGAUGCAGUCAUGCCGCGUGUGUGAAGAAGGCCUUCGGGUUGUAAAGCACUUUCAGCGGGGAGGAAGGCGUUAAGGUUAAUAACCUUGGCGAUUGACGUUACCCGCAGAAGAAGCACCGGCUAACUCCGUGCCAGCAGCCGCGGUAAUACGGAGGGUGCAAGCGUUAAUCGGAAUUACUGGGCGUAAAGCGCACGCAGGCGGUCUGUCAAGUCGGAUGUGAAAUCCCCAGGCUCAACCUGGGAACUGCAUUCGAAACUGGCAGGCUAGAGUCUUGUAGAGGGGAGUAGAAUUCCAGGUGUAGCGGUGAAAUGCGUAGAGAUCUGGAGGAAUACCGGUGGCGAAGGCGGCCCCCUGGACAAAGACUGACGCUCAGGUGCGAAAGCGUGGGGAGCAAACAGGAUUAGAUACCCCUGUAGUC